UAUGGUACCAGCAGCCGCGGUAAUACGUAGGUGGCGAGCGUUAUCCGGAAUGAUUGGGCGUAAAGGGUGCGUAGGUGGCAGAUCAAGUCUGGAGUAAAAGGUAUGGGCUCAACCCGUACUGGCUCUGGAAACUGAUCCGCUAGAGAACAGAAGAGGACGGCGGAACUCCAUGUGUAGCGGUAAAAUGCGUAGAUAUAUGGAAGAACACCGGUGGCGAAGGCGGCCGUCUGGUCUGGAUUCUGACACUGAAGCACGAAAGCGUGGGGAGCAAAUAGG
Molecule: ribosomal RNA, 276 nt
Filed under: Holdemanella biformis DSM 3989
Lineage: Bacteria; Bacillati; Bacillota; Erysipelotrichia; Erysipelotrichales; Erysipelotrichaceae
Description: partial 16S ribosomal RNA
Rfam family: Bacterial small subunit ribosomal RNA
Source: RNAcentral